This 85-nucleotide transfer RNA is filed under the name Candidatus Gracilibacteria bacterium 28_42_T64. Its description in RNAcentral is "tRNA-Leu". It matches the Rfam family "tRNA". Rfam says of the family: Transfer RNA (tRNA) molecules are approximately 80 nucleotides in length. Their secondary structure includes four short double-helical elements and three loops (D, anti-codon, and T loops). Lineage: Bacteria; Candidatus Altimarinota. The record is from RNAcentral.
GCCUAGAUGGUGGAAUUGGUAGACACGGGGGACUCAAAAUCCCCUUCCUUCGGGAGUGAGGGUUCGAUUCCCUUUCUAGGUACCA